RNAcentral lists this non-coding RNA (102 nucleotides) under Priestia endophytica. Its description in RNAcentral is "Bacillus endophyticus TPP sequence". It matches the Rfam family "TPP riboswitch aptamer (THI element)". Rfam says of the family: Vitamin B(1) in its active form thiamin pyrophosphate (TPP) is an essential coenzyme that is synthesised by coupling of pyrimidine and thiazole moieties in bacteria. The previously detected thiamin-regulatory element, thi box was extended, resulting in a new, highly conserved RNA secondary structure, the THI element, which is widely distributed in eubacteria and also occurs in some archaea. Lineage: Bacteria; Bacillati; Bacillota; Bacilli; Caryophanales; Bacillaceae. The record is from Rfam by way of RNAcentral.
UAAGGCUACUAGGGGUGCUGUAAAAAGCUGAGAGAGACAAGUGUCUUAACCCUUACACCUGAUCUAGGUAAUGCUAGCGAAGGGAAGUGGUUGGCGAAUUGU